GGCAAGAUGACCGAGUGGUUAAGGUGCGCGACUCAAGCAACCGCUUGCUCUGGACAACCAGUGUGCCUUCGCGUGUCGAAAGACGCGGGGGUUCGAAUCCCCCUCUUGUCA
This is a non-coding RNA of Aspergillus tanneri, 111 nucleotides long. Lineage: Eukaryota; Fungi; Ascomycota; Eurotiomycetes; Eurotiales; Aspergillaceae. The record is from the annotation of a RefSeq genome assembly.